UGUGCUCUGCAGUGUGAGGUAGUUGGUUGUAUGGUUUCGCAUAAUAAACAGCACGGAGAUAACUGUACAACCUUCUAGCUUUCCCUGCGGAGUCAC
This is a microRNA precursor of Oreochromis aureus, 96 nucleotides long. Lineage: Eukaryota; Metazoa; Chordata; Actinopteri; Cichliformes; Cichlidae. The record is from Ensembl.